CUUAUCUCGCGUUAAAGCCAAAAGUGAUAAGCAGUCUGUACUGUUAGAGGAGCUGAGGCGGAAUAGGAACAGUAGAUCAUACGGGAUUCUACUUACAAAUGAGUUUAAAUAAAGGCAGGUCUGCAAUACUCAAAAUAUUAUGCAGAUGGAGAUGUGCUAUUGCAUCGUUUUUGUAUAUAAAUGUUUGAUUAAAAAGCAAUACUGGCAGAAAAGGUAACAAUGCCUUUGCUGGAAAUAAGAGAAAGAAUAUAACAAGAACUCUCAAGGACAAUAGUAGACUUUUGAUGUAAUUUAAGGGGACAACAUGCAUCAUCUUUCAUGACCUGAAACCAUCUUGCAGUUAACAUUCAUAGCAAGUUGAAUUAAUCUUGGAAGUUGUUCGAGUGAGCUUCAGCUGGUCCGACCCUGAUUUCUUUUCCAACUUUUUUAUUAACUAUCCAGAAGCGGACAGAUGGUGUGCACUUUCUCGGAUGAUCUUGAGCGAAUGGUUUCCUUUUACUUCUUUCUUUACAAACAAAUUAAAGAUCACUGUGUAUUCUAAGAGAGCAAAUGAACAGUACUGUAUAUCUCUUUUCUUCUUUUUCUUUUUAAUGUGAAAAUUUAUGUUUGUCGGGUGAAUUCAGUGUAAUAGAUAUUUUACUCUUAGUAGAUCAAGGGUUUAUAGUUUAUACAUUCCCAUUAAUAGCAGCCAGAACUGAAUGAAGGUAAUAAAGGAGCUAGAACAUCCUAUAUACUCGAAUAUUCAUAACUUGAGCCAGUUGCUGAGAUUUUUAUAUUAAACAACAUUUUCUUGUAUUUUUGUGAUAAGUAUCUUCUCAUUAAAAGUUCUGAAAGUGGUCUAUGUUUCAUUUUUAAUUCAUGAUAGAUGUGAAGCAACAAGCUUACUUUGCAAUUGUUAUGAAACUAUAUGUGGCAAAGGAUCACUGUAACACCAAAUUUUAAGGAAUUUGUAGGAAUUAUCCAGACAUUGACUACGUGGAGAAAAAGAAAAGCAUCAGUUUGACAUUAGGAAGUCAUAUACCAUCUCCAGUUGGAAAAAAAGUAUAUCUGCACAAAAGGAAGGUUAACCUAAAAUUUCUAGUUAAUCCUUAAACAGGGCCAUUACUGCAGGGCUUCAUGCUUCAGUAAUUGUCAGCAAACCUGAAAAUGGAGGGCUUCAAGUCAGAAUAUUCUCAAGUAUGAAGGUUUUCCAAGCUUUGUCUUAUCAAAAUGUACGUGUUAGAGCACAAAGCAUAGAGUCCAUGCAUACUUAAAUGCGGUCCUUUUCUUAAUUAAUGAUGACCCAACUUGUCCAAAAUCCUAGCUACACAACAAUCACUACACUAUUUUAUAUGACAUAUUGAUCAGUAACAAUAAAAUACAUAUACUUUAUGUCUUUUCUAUCUAGGGAUUUUCUUUGUGCCUGAAUCAAAAAUGUUUAGUUUAAAAGAAAUACUGCUUCAUUAGGAACAAAAGUUGAAAGUGGUGUGUCAACCCUAUCCACUGGCUCUAAUCAGGUGAAAGAAAAUAUUUUUUGUUCUGACACUUUUAUUUUAGUUCGGAUUACUUGAAUAUUUUUGAUUAUAAAAACUGAUCACAAAUAUCCCUUAGUAACAUGUUAUGAUGUAAUUACUUGGUUUAAGUCUUUAUUUCCAUUUUAUUUUCAUUUAUUUGUCUUUUAGAUAGCAGUUAAAAAAUCCCAGGACAUCUCAUUGAUUCCUAAUAUAUAAUUUCUUAUUACAUACUCUUAGCCUUUAAUUUUCUUGAAGGAAUCUGAUGAGAGUUCUUUAUUGUCUUCAUAACCUUUCAACAUCUCUCAUUACACAUGGCUGCAUAUGACUUAUUUUUAUUCAUUCCUAUUGCCAGAUAUAUUAUACUAUGAACAUGCUUAGAAAAUCAUCUACAAGCCCAAUAUUUCAGGUGAGCUUAUGCAAUCAGUAACUGAAUGGGGUUAGUAAGUUAACAAGUAACAAGAUUUUAUAUUUUUCAGGAAAAUAAAGAGCCAAAAUGAUAGAUACACAGAUCAUUCGUAUUAAGGCCCGGCUUGUUGUGGAAGUCAAUUAUCGAGAAUGUUUGGCAUGCAAUCUUUUUUUUCCAGUUAUUCUGUAUAUUUUGAUAUACUGAUAUAUUUUAUACUACACAUAAUCAUCAUUGAUUUUGGAUAAUUAAUAGAUAACCAAUUUGAUUUCUCCAUUUUUUAUAGAAAAUAAAUAUCCAGGAAUGGAUUAGUGUCUGUAUUCAUCAUAGAGGAUGUCAGACUUCAAAGACUUCAGAAUUCUUUGUUUUGCAAGCAGAUAGUCUCUUGAUGGUAAAUCAGUAGUCAGUUGAUAUGUUUUAUAAAAGAUGAUACUCUGUUGCCAGAAUAACCCUUCAGUAUAAUGACAGAUAGUCAGAAGAGUAUCAGCACCUCCUUGACGAGCCACUCUAGGGGGUAAUGUAAUGGUUUGUGUGUGUGUGACCAACCAGGACAGUAUACAACACUGAGUGUGCUGCUGCAGCCACCAUGCAAAAUAAUGAACAGGAAGCCGGUAAGAAGUUCUACAAUGAAGCCAUAUGCAGAUUCUUCAGAUGAGAGAUCUGCUCACACAAAGUAAACACGGGGAGGAAAUCUUUGGCAAAAUGUUAUGAUGAUCCUCAUUCAGAAUUAAAACUGAAUGGAGACUUUGAUACACAUUGCCUUUUGGUUGUUGAAAAGAAAUAAACACUAUGAUUAAUUCUAUAACCCACUGACACCACCGGGAGUAAAAGUUUAGGGUAAGGUCGCAAAUUAAGGUGCAUAUUUGAGGGGUAUUUUUCUUUAUCAAAAUAUUCACUGUUGUUGGACUCUUCCCAGAUAUGUUUCAUCAUAAAAGUAUCAAGAAAUGGUUGGUCUUUAAUUUGUGUAGAAGUUAUAAACUUAUAUUCAAUGGCUUGUAAGAUAUGGACACUAAUGAAGCAUGCUUUCUAAUUAUGCCAAAAAUCCUUUCAUUUUACAAAUAAAGCUCAUGCAUAUAUUUAAGUAUAUACAAUUUUUUUUGCAAACUCCUUCGAGAUUCUGGAUUGAUAAUCAUAGAUGUGUUAAUUAUAAUCAUGUUGCUACUGUUGACAAAUGUUAAUGAGUUUCCUCCAAAGAUAAAUAAUUUUCUUCCACUUCACCAAAAAAUAACCUAGAAAAAUAUUGAUAUUCCAAUGUUUUUAAUGCAAAAAUAGGCUCUUUUUUAUUGCUGUUUCUUUCUUUUCUUUUAAGGCAAAAUAAUCUCUUAGAUUGCUACAAAUAUUCUGAAACUGGAACUCAUGUGUUUGCUGCUUGAAAGGAGCUUUUGCUAUAUUUGGAGAUGAAAGUUCCUUAGUUUCUGGGUUUACAUAAAAGCUUUUGCUCCUUUCCUUUUGAAAUGAAACUGCAGAUGGGAUAAUUCAGGAGAAUAAGGGGAUUAGUUUCAUCUGGGAUGCUCUAGAUCAGUGGUUCCCAAACUUUCCUAUUCUGUGACCUCCGACCAAUUUAUAAUAAUCUCCAUUGUCCUAUUUAGUGUUUCAUCUUUUCAUAUUCAGUUAUUACUAGAUAUGAAUUGUGUAAUGGUGUCAGUAGCUAUAGGACAAAAACACUACACGAUUCCAAUUUGAUAGUGAGAGAUAAUUAUAUGUAGAUACUGUAGGUGAGUUAAAAUUCACUUUACUUCAAUAUCAUAAUUUUGAUAUUGCUUCAUGACCCUCUAGAAAGUACCGCUUGGCCCCCAGGUUGGGAACCCCUGUUCUAGAUCACCAGUGGCAUCAAUCUCUGUAAUAAUGAAGUGCAGUUUGAAACCACUGCUUAAUCACUUGCAUGUUUAUGUUUUUUUCUUGCUGAAGUUAGUGAUUCAGGUGGUAAAGGAAGUCAGCUAGGGGUGCCUCUGAAGGAAUACUUUCCACUAUUUUUGUUAAGCUCUGUGCUUUUAAAAGAAGUGGGCAACUUUCUUGCAUUAUGUGUCCUUUUUUCAUCCUCCAAUUUUUUUUUUUCAGUUUUUAUUGUUUAUAUGAUUUAGUCACAGGAUGGACUGUAACUGCGUUUGAUUUAUAGUUUACAAGGACUGGUUCCUCAGCUUCAGUUAUCAAGAUUGUGAGUCCAGGGUUUGAACCCAUUACAUGAUAAAUGGAUA
Long non-coding RNA from Penaeus vannamei (Pacific white shrimp), 4091 nucleotides. RefSeq lists it as uncharacterized. NCBI's taxonomy places the organism in Eukaryota, Metazoa, Arthropoda, Malacostraca, Decapoda, Penaeidae. The record is from RefSeq and is a predicted model, not a curated record.